UUUCUUUUUCCUUAAAAUACACACUGAAUCUCAAUUUUUUUGUAUAACAAUUCCACACAUUUCGAGGUUUCAUUAAUUCUACUGCUGUGCAUAGUCACAAUGCCCCUUCUUUGUGCUUUUAUUUUGCUGUGAUUAUGUGAUUUUGCUGUGAUUAUGAUAUUUGCUGGUCUAAUUACACACAAUCUGAGGCAAAACCCAGCCAUAAGUGGAAAAAUGCACUCUGAAGGAGAGGAGCAGCAGAAACCGAUACUUCAGCAGAGAGGGAAUAAAUCACUCCUGGACAGGAUGAAAGAAGACGAAGACAUGUUUAGGCACAGAAUUGAAAGUCUCCCUGGGAACCGUCCUAAUAUGAAAAAAGCAAACAGGGAUUCUGCUGACUUGAAGGAUGCAGAGACUCGGACACACCAGGACACUUUAGUGGAAUUUUUUUAUGGCAAAAAUUGAUCAUCUAUUACUGUAUUUGAUGAAAGAGACAGAAAAGAAACACUAAUCCAACAGAUGUGCUAAAAUGGGAAACACGUUAUAAAUUAAGAUAAAUUAGCUAGGAUUUCCGUAGCACUCAAAGCGUUUUGAGUCUUGGUGCAACUGCAUUACAAAUGAUUUAAUCUGGUCAGUAUUACUGCUCCAUCAAAACAUUCACACUAUAUUACAGAACACUGUUUAUAACUGUGCACUUUCAGCUGAGUCUCUUCAUCGUUCCAAGUAUUUUCCCCAUGUCUUUUUGCCAGUCUGCUGCUAUUGUUUUGCACUAUAUAAGCUACAAAGGUUGUAUCAGGUCUGUUCAUAACAACUUCCUCCAUUCUGAUCUGUUAUUUCAUCCGUUUUUUUUUUCCUUUCUUACCAUUCUUACAUUUCAGAUCUCCUACACUCCUGUACAUACUCACGCUCUCUGACAGAGUUGUCACCAACUUUAGGCAUAUUACUGUUGUUAAUAUUUAAUAACAAUUUUAUUAUGCACAGGUAUUUGUAGGUAAUUCAAAUUGAACUGAAAAUGACAGAUACUCCUAAAUUUUUGAAAUUUCUUACGGAGUAUAAUAAAGUGGUAUUAUAUAUGCUUUCACUGAAUGGGUGGGGGAGCAGGGGCAAGUUUGUUAUUUUCAUUUUCUGUUUUUUAAAUUUUUAGAAGGGUUUUGGUGUUUAAGCCUCUGCUUUCCUACAUUUCAUUUUAAACUUUAUAUACAGUAUGUCAUGUUCCCUUGGAUGUAAAAAGCUAAUGGUUAACUAAAUGUAAAAAAUGUUUGCUUAAGUCAUUGAGCAGCUGAGCAAGCUGUAUCAGUGUUUAUACUGUACUGUACCUUACCUUUACAAAUAAAAUUAUUUGAUUUUA
Pangasianodon hypophthalmus (striped catfish) is the source of this 1327-nucleotide long non-coding RNA. RefSeq lists it as uncharacterized. Lineage: Eukaryota; Metazoa; Chordata; Actinopteri; Siluriformes; Pangasiidae. The transcript has 2 exons. The record is from RefSeq and is a predicted model, not a curated record.